Molecule: unclassified non-coding RNA, 336 nt
Filed under: soil metagenome
Description: partial contains 5.8S ribosomal RNA, internal transcribed spacer 2, and large subunit ribosomal RNA
Rfam family: 5.8S ribosomal RNA (bases 1-120)
Source: RNAcentral
GAUGAAGAACGCAGCGAAAUGCGAUAAGUAAUGUGAAUUGCAGAAUUCAGUGAAUCAUCGAAUCUUUGAACGCACAUUGCGCCCGCCAGUAUUCUGGCGGGCAUGCCUGUUCGAGCGUCAUUUCAACCAUCAAGCCCCAGGCUUGUGUUGGGGACCUGCGGCUGCCGCAUGCCCUGAAAACCAGUGGCGGGCUCGCUGUCACACCGGGCGUAGUAGAUUUUAUCUCGCUCAGGGCGUGCUGCGGGUUCCGGCCGUUAAAAAGCCUUUUUUACCCAAGGUUGACCUCGGAUCAGGUAGGAAUACCCGCUGAACUUAAGCAUAUCAAUAAGCGGAGGA